AGAAAUUUAGGUUAACCUAGACCAAAAGCCUUCAAAGCUUUCAGCAGAAGUGAAAACCUUCUAAUUUCUG
This 70-nucleotide transfer RNA is filed under the name Chiloscyllium punctatum (brownbanded bambooshark). Its description in RNAcentral is "tRNA-Trp". It matches the Rfam family "tRNA". Rfam says of the family: Transfer RNA (tRNA) molecules are approximately 80 nucleotides in length. Their secondary structure includes four short double-helical elements and three loops (D, anti-codon, and T loops). The record is from RNAcentral. Lineage: Eukaryota; Metazoa; Chordata; Chondrichthyes; Orectolobiformes; Hemiscylliidae. RNAcentral also lists the same sequence under 1 other name.